Gadus macrocephalus (Pacific cod) is the source of this 484-nucleotide long non-coding RNA. RefSeq lists it as uncharacterized. The record is from RefSeq and is a predicted model, not a curated record. The transcript is spliced from 2 exons. NCBI's taxonomy places the organism in Eukaryota, Metazoa, Chordata, Actinopteri, Gadiformes, Gadidae.
GAGAGAGAGAGAGAGAGAGAGAGGAAGGGAGAGACAGAGAGAGUUGGAGAGAUAGACAACAAUAGACAGAGAAAGAGGGAGAGAUAGACAAAGAAAGAGGGAGAGAGAGACAGAGAGGGAGAGAUAGACAACGAAAGAGAGAGGGAGACAGAGAGGGAGAGAUAGACAACCGAAAGAGAGAGAGGGAGACAGAUAGGGAGAGAGAGACAGAGAGGGAGCGAUCGACAAAGAAAGAGAGAGAGGCGGUGCAGAGCGGUGUUAUGUCCUCCGGCGGGCAUGUGUUCUGCACGGUCUGCCCCUCCCAUGGGGUUGGGAGCGGGCCACAUGGAAGGGGAGGAGCCUGGAUCCCUCCGCUCUCAAGCCCACACAGACGACUGCACUGAGACGCACUCCAAGUGGGGCCGAGUACAAGAGGAAUACGAGUCAAUAUUUGACCAGACAGGACAGAAGAAGGGAGCAAGACACGGAUUGAAAGUGUUGAAAA